RNAcentral lists this microRNA (21 nucleotides) under Salmo salar (Atlantic salmon). Its description in RNAcentral is "ssa-miR-153a-2-5p". Its record names the gene ssa-miR-153a-2-5p. Lineage: Eukaryota; Metazoa; Chordata; Actinopteri; Salmoniformes; Salmonidae. The record is from miRBase by way of RNAcentral.
UCAUCUUUGUGAUUUGCAGCU